UACAGAGGUGCCGAGCGUUUAGGCGGAAUCACUGGGCUUAAAGCGUGUGUAGGCGGACCGUUAAGUACCUUGUGAAAUCCCCCGGCUCAACCGGGGAACGGCUGGGUAUACUGGCGGUCUUGAGCCAUCCAGGGGCAGUCGGAACAGACGGUGGAGCGGUGAAAUGCGUAGAUAUCGUCUGGAACGCCGAAGGUGAAAACAGAACUGCUGGGGGAUGAGCUGACGCUGAGAC
RNAcentral lists this ribosomal RNA (232 nucleotides) under uncultured bacterium. Its description in RNAcentral is "partial 16S ribosomal RNA". It matches the Rfam family "Bacterial small subunit ribosomal RNA", at positions 524 to 752 of the family's 1533-position model. The record is from RNAcentral.